RNAcentral lists this ribosomal RNA (447 nucleotides) under uncultured bacterium. RNAcentral's name for it is "partial 16S ribosomal RNA". It matches the Rfam family "Bacterial small subunit ribosomal RNA", at positions 56 to 482 of the family's 1533-position model. The record is from RNAcentral.
UGCAGUCGAACGUGAAAGGGGCUUCGGCCCUGAGUAAAGUGGAGCACGGGUGAGUAACACGUGGAUAAUCUACCCGAUGGACCGGGAUAACACUUCAAAAGGGGUGCUAAUACCGGAUAAGCCCACAGGCUCUUUGGAGCCUGCNGNAAAAGGUGGGGACCUUCGNGCCUACCGUCUUCGGAUGAGUCCCCCGCCCAUUAACUAGUUGGGGGGGUAAUGGCCUACCCAGGGAACCAUGGGUAACUGGUCUGAAAAGAUGAUCAGCCACACUGGAACUGAAACACGGGCCAGAAUCCUACGGGAAGCAGCAGUGGGGAAUUUUGCCCAAUGGGCGAAAGCCUGACCCAACAACCCCCCGUGAGUGAUGAAAGGCCUCCGGUCCUAAAGCUCUGUCCUAGGGGAAAAAACUUUUGGGGGAGAAUAUCCCUUGAAACUGACGGUACCCUC